Molecule: unclassified non-coding RNA, 358 nt
Filed under: soil metagenome
Description: partial contains 5.8S ribosomal RNA, internal transcribed spacer 2, and large subunit ribosomal RNA
Rfam family: 5.8S ribosomal RNA (bases 1-120)
Source: RNAcentral
GAUGAAGAACGUAGCGAAAUGCGAUAAGUAAUGUGAAUUGCAGAAUUCAGUGAAUCAUCGAAUCUUUGAACGCACAUUGCGCCCGUCAGUAUUCUGGCGGGCAUGCCUGUUCGAGCGUCAUUACGCCCCUCAAGUCCCCUGUGGACUUGGUGUUGGGGAUCGGCGAGGCUGGUUUUCCAGCACAGCCGUCCCUUAAAUUAAUUGGCGGUCUCGCCGUGGCCCUCCUCUGCGCAGUAGUAAAACACUCGCAACAGGAGCCCGGCGCGGUCCACUGCCGUAAAACCCCCCAACUUUUUAUAGUUGACCUCGAAUCAGGUAGGACUACCCGCUGAACUUAAGCAUAUCAACAAGCGGAGGA